CAAAAAGGUUCCCUUCGUCGAGAAGAAAGAGAGAAAGAGAUUGCGCAGCCCCCAGUCCUCAUCCCCGAUUCCUCUCCCUCUCCCUUUCCCUCGUCUGCCGCCGCCAGCCCCACCGCGGACGGCCCUGUCAGAUCUCGUCCCGAUGAAGUCAAGGACGAGCUCCACCCGGACGAGGUCGAUCCGUCCCCUGCCACACUUCUCCAUCGCGUCACCAUAUUCGGAGGAGCCGCCACUGCUGCUGGCGCAUCUGCUCCUCCCGGAGUUGUCGCCAUCGGCAGGAGGAGUGCCGGACCGCGCGCCAACUCGAGGACCGCCGCUCCGGCGGACCGUUGUUUCUGGCCGCCGUCCGCCUCUGGUGCCCCGUCCAUUCGCCACCAGUCACGCACCAGGUAGGAACUCAAGCUCCCUGCCUCUACAUGUUCCCAGGUACGGCAGAUCUUCAUCCCCUUUUUUUCUAAUCUAUAUAUCAGAUAUGGUGGUGUGUGGCAUUUUUAGCUUGGCAGCUGUAGAUGGGAUCAUUUCAAAAGAUUCUUGGACACCCCUUUUAGUUGUCAUCCCUGGAUUAACCAGUGAUUCUGAUGCUGCUGUUAGUCUCUAACCUUUUUCUGAUGUUGACUUAUACAGUUAUACCUGCGUUGCAUAUUUGAAGAGAUCUAAGGUUCAUGAUUGGACGACAUAUUACUAUAUUUGUAACCAUUCUGAAGAUUUAAUUGGCUAUUGCAGUAUGCAGAACACUUGGUUCAUUCCAUAGCAAGAAAAUGGUGGAAUGUUGUUAUAAAAGGUCGCCUCCCUGCUUGUCACCGCGCCAUGCCGCCUCACCCCGGAUAGUGGCCAUUGCUCCGCCCGCGGCGCCUUCCAGCCAAGAAUGCCAUCUCCACCCGUCCAGGUAACUCAGCCGACUGGCCUUUUCACGAUUUAAAACAAAAUGGUGUGCUGAAGAGAGACACCUUACUUUGGAUAGAGAUUAAAAUGGAAUCUGCUUGGACUAUGCUUUCCCAUACAGGUUUGAUUCGUAUAUACAUCUCAAGUUGGCUAUAUCUGGAUGGGUUGCAGUUUGCUUCUUUCAAAAAGACGAGGUGUUCUGGAAUGAUUUGCUUAUCUGCUUUAUGCAUGAUCAUCCAUUUUAUAGAUUAUAUAGGGUGUUGGUAUCUUUCUGUACACUGGCAUGAUCUCUAAAACAAGUCUCAGGCCAUAGAUAGGAUUGUCAUCAUGUAUGUUAUUUAGUUAUAUAGAAAAACAAAUCACAUAACUGCACAACACAGAACAGUACUGCUUCUGAACUGAUGUUGCCAUUGAUAAGGUUACUAAUGUUAGUUGGUGUCGGCUCUAGGGUGUAUAGUUUACACUCUAUGAAUCAUGUCAAGGUUCUGUAGAAAUCGGUUAUGUGUUUCAACAUUUUACAAUGUUAGUCGUUUAUCUAUUAUGUUCUACUCCCUCCGUUCCUAAAUAUAAGUCCAUUUGGAGAUUUCAAUAUGGACUAUAUACGGAGCAAAAUGGAUGAAUCUACACUCUAAAGUAAGUCUAUAUACAUCCGUAUGUAGUGUGUAUUGAAAUCUCUAAAAAGACCUAUAUUUAGAAACGGAGGGAGGGAUUUGUAUCUGUGGGUUUCUCAAAAUAAUUGUAUGUACUGGGAGAGGAGGUUUCCACGACUAUUGAUCAUUGAUCAGUUAGAACUUCUGCUGAAGAAAGGUGCCCUUUGGUUAACAUUUCUGAUAUAUAUAACAUACGACGUUGGAAUUUCCAUUGAAAUUUUGAAGGAAAGUACAUCAAUAGAAUGGCCUUUCUUCCGGUGGCCACCCCCUCCCGCCUUUCUGUUGCGUAUAUUCAUUUUGGAUAUUGACCAUGGUUGCAUAAAUUUAAGUUGCUUGUGAUCUUCUGUCUAUUUCCUGUUAAUUAUAAAUAAUCAGAACCAUCUCUGGUCAGUACACCAUAGCACAAUACCACACGGAUGCUUGGUAGUGCUUUUCAUAAAUUGGUAGUUUUUGCUUUGGUGGAGAGCUUUUGACGAAUUACUGGGUAUGCAAAUCUUGGUUUGAUCCGUCUACUAAUUUAUACUCUAAUGACAUGGAAGUCGAUGGCGUGAAAUGCCUAGCUGUUGACAUCCCCCCUCAGAGUUUUCUAGAGAGGUAAUGGUUUGUGGAAGGGAUUAAGAUGUGCAGACAACGUGGCUGCUCAGAGUAACUGUCCCAGGGCGGUUGACAACCAGGCAGCAGCGCAGAGAAAUUGUCUCAGGAUAGCAUGUUUGAGUGAUGACCAACUAAGGAGAGGUUGAUGAGAUCAAUGACACGAGAGGGGUGGACAGGCAGCUGCAAAGGAUCCGAGGAGCAGCCGGUGAACAAGAGGAGCAAAGACAACAUCUCUUGCGUCACUAUAAACAUCUGCUGCUAGCAGAGCUUCAGCCGGUGAACAGGAGGAGCUUCAGCUCCGUCGUCGUAAACUUCAAAUGUUGGCCGAGCUUCAAACCUCUAGCCUGUCAAGUGUACAAUUGGUCCAAUAGCUCUAGUUGGAUGGCAUUUUUCUUUCUCCCUUAUCCAAGCUAUUUUCGUCCAUCCGAACAUAUGGGGAGGAAAUAGGAGUUGCGGUAAUUGACGUCUGAGCUCAUGCUCAUCUACCCGUUGAAACUAAAUUUAAAAAUAUUUAAAAGAUAAAAACGUGUAUUUUUUGACAUUAAAG
RNAcentral lists this ribosomal RNA (2673 nucleotides) under Triticum aestivum (bread wheat). Its description in RNAcentral is "partial small subunit ribosomal RNA". Lineage: Eukaryota; Viridiplantae; Streptophyta; Magnoliopsida; Poales; Poaceae. The record is from RNAcentral.